UACGUAGGGUGCGAGCGUUAAUCGGAAUUACUGGGCGUAAAGCGUGCGCAGGCGGUUCGUUGUGUCCGAUGUGAAAGCCCCGGGCUUAACCUGGGAAUGGCAUUGGAAACUGGCGAGCUUGAGUGCGGCAGAGGGGGGUGGAAUUCCACGUGUAGCAGUGAAAUGCGUAGAGAUCGGGAGGAACAUCAGUUGCGAAGGCGGCUCUCUGGACCAGCACUGACACUGAGGCACGAAAGCGUGGGGAGCAAACAGG
Molecule: ribosomal RNA, 253 nt
Filed under: uncultured bacterium
Lineage: Bacteria
Description: partial 16S ribosomal RNA
Rfam family: Bacterial small subunit ribosomal RNA
Source: RNAcentral